AGAACGAACGCUGGCGGCAGGCUUAACACAUGCAAGUCGAACGCCCCGCAAGGGGAGUGGCAGACGGGUGAGUAACGCGUGGGAAUCUACCCAGUUCUACGGAAUAACACAGGGAAACUUGUGCUAAUACCGUAUACGCCCUACGGGGGAAAGAUUUAUCGGGAUUGGAUGAGCCCGCGUAAGAUUAGCUAGUUGGUGGGGUAAUGGCCUACCAAGGCGACGAUCUUUAGCUGGUCUGAGAGGAUGAUCAGCCACACUGGGACUGAGACACGGCCCCAGACUCCUACGGGAGGCAGCAGUGGGGAAUAUUGGACAAUGGGCGCAAGCCUGAUCCAGCCAUGCCGCGUGAGUGAUGAAGGCCUUAGGGUUGUAAAGCUCUUUCAGUGGGGAAGAUAAUGACGGUACCCACAGAAGAAGCCCCGGCUAACUUCGCGCCAGCAGCCGC
This 445-nucleotide ribosomal RNA is filed under the name uncultured bacterium. Its description in RNAcentral is "SSU rRNA". It matches the Rfam family "Bacterial small subunit ribosomal RNA", at positions 26 to 518 of the family's 1533-position model. The record is from RNAcentral.